Molecule: long non-coding RNA, 6267 nt
Organism: Mus musculus (house mouse)
Lineage: Eukaryota; Metazoa; Chordata; Mammalia; Rodentia; Muridae
Product: RIKEN cDNA 1700086D15 gene
Exons: 2
Source: RefSeq, a predicted model, not a curated record
UGUUUGGGUUGCGCUGGGUUGUGUGGGUUUAGAGGUGCUAAGUUGGGGGGUGGAAGGAUGAAUUUUGCCUCCAGAGCUCUGCUUUCUAUUCCUCGACUGCUAGUGUGCAAGACAGAGCUGAGAGGGCUUGGUUUCUCCUGCAGCCUUGCCAAGCCUCGCUGCCGCAGCGCAGCCUGCACAGUUGAACUGCAGGCAGUCCAGGCAUCGGCCAGUGGUCCCGGCCGGCCGGGCAUGAGGCUGCACAGGCUCUAGGAACAGUGGUCCCCGGCCGGGCAUGAGGCUGCACAGGCUCUAGGAACUUUUUUUUUUUUUUUUUUGGUUAUUUGAGACAGGACUUCUCUUUAUAGCCCUGGCUGCUCUAGGAACUUUUGGCAUAGCUGGCAUUUCUGCUCUGGCCGAAGCCACUGAGGACCCUUUGCCUGAAGCGACGGCUUGUCCUUCAGUAGGUCUCUGAAAGCCAUCAGGCAAUCAAUAGGACCAGAGGGGAAAAGUCAGAACAAGUCUAGAUUAGUCAUCACCUGCUUUUGCAAAAGCUGGCUGUGAUUUGGACUUCUCAGAUCAAUGCAGGCUUCUGCAGCCUCUUUCUAUGAGAGGCAGCAGGCUUCUCCAGACCAGAGACUCCCCUUAAGUUCUUCAGUAGAGAGAGUCCUGGGAGCCCAGGCAGGCCCUCUUGCUGAGGUGUGGCUUUUGUGCUAGCAGACCACACUGAGCCACUCAUGACAGACUGGCAGAGGGACAGAGAAGGCCCUUUGCCCUUGGUUCUCCAUGCCCCUUACUCUACAGGCCUGUCCCGUCUCCCCUCAGAUGGCCUGCCUGUUCUCUGCAGUCAGCAAGAGGCAGCCUCACUUUCUUGGAGAAUUCUCUCAGCCCAGACCUUCUGCAAGUCAUUGUGAGGGAGCCUUUUUUUUUUUCCCUUGAGCAGCAAUUAAUCACCUCCCCUCCCACUUUUUUCCACCAGAGGAAUUCAUCAACACUGAUUGCCAAGAACAUGAUUUGUGGUAUCAGUAAUGGCGGGUAUCUCCCAUUUGAUGCCUGUGCUAAUAGUCAAACUGUGCCAGAUCUCAGCAGCUCUCGGCCCUGGCCUGUGGAGUGAGGACAGCCCUUUCCACCCCAGGCCAUUCUGGAUUCCACCAUUUGUCUCUGAGGUGGAAGAACAGGACACAAGACUGUGGUGAGUCACACUCUGGCUUCCAGUGUUUCUUUUGGAAGUGACAUGUGCCAUUUGUGCCAUUUCAUUGCCAAAGCAAGUCACUUGGCCACACCUCAUUCCAUAUACAGCCCCGAAAGCCAGUCUUUCUACGCAGGCCUGAAUCGAGAGGCAAGCCUGCAGCCUACAGUACCUGUUGCAGGAGCUUGGCUGAGAUGCUCAUUGAGGAUCGUCUUCAUUGUGUCUUCCAAAUGAAUCAAGUGCUGUUUAUAGACCCACUUACCAGAUGGGGAAAUGGAGGUGAGAAAGAGCAGAGCCAGACUUGAUACCUCCUGAGGAGAGCAAACCUGGGCUGAGGCUUCUUGCUUUCGCCCUGGUACCAUUUCUUUGCAGCCACAAUGUCCCUAGUCCCUAUAGGAGGUGGUUUUAGAGAUGCUAAUUAACUGCUCCUGACUUAAAUAAAAAUAAAACUGUCCUAUUCCCUUUAAGAUAAUGGAGCAUCUUGUAUGUAGCCUUAACCACAAAGAGCAUAAAUGAAAUUUUUGUCAAUAGAAUAUUCUUCCCUGUGUUUUGUUUCUGCAGCUUCAGCAGAAAGAGAGAGAGAGAGAGAGAAAAAAAAGGUGCCCUUUGAAGGUUCUUUGCCUUCAAAGGAAGGCAAGUCGGAAGUCGGAGUAUUUACAAAAGCCUUUGGGCUGCUUCUUCCCCAGCACAGGAACCAAGCAGCAACCUAACAACUGUGCAAAAGGAUCAAGUCAAGUAGAGCAGCCUCUGGCCUCACCGUGGUCCUCACUGUCGCCCCUGACCCGGGUCAUCAGUGUGUGUGUUCCCACUGUUGAUGCAAGCACCAUCUGUUAAGAGUACCCCAGAUUUGCACAUUUACGUGACAGACCUCCAUUCUGCCCUUGCCCCACUUUCUACACCAGGGCAGGGCAGGGCAGCCUGGUGGCUGCUGCUUGCCUAGCCCGUGAGGGAAGACAGGAGAGCACCCAGGUCCCCCCUCCCCGCCUGUGCUUUAAUGACUGCAGUGGGGAAACAGAAUGUCUAACAUUAACAGAGUCAGGAAGUAAGUUCUGCAUUGACAUAGUUGCAACUCUUUUUGUAUUUUCCGAACUUGGGCUGAUUUGAAGCCUGCAGGAUGAGGACACAGGAUCUAGAAGUGCACGAAGGGGUGACAGGCCAACAAUAAAACCAACCACAUAGGAACAACUGGAAGGGAGUCCGGAAAGAGGGAAGCAGAAGCCUGCAGGAUGAGGAGUGAUUUCUGCUCUUGUACAUUUGCAGGAGUCCUGAUUCUUUCAAAUAAACACUCAUUUCACCAAAACAAACAGAACUCAACAGGAGGAACUGAAGUCUUUGUUGCUUGUAAUAAUAUUGCAUCUUUGGGGGCUUUUUCGGAUCUGAAUACAUGUUUGCAGUUCUUCGGAGCCCUGGUUUCCAGCAUGGGGAACUGCUCGUCUUUAGAACUCUGGAUGCAAUGGCAGACCUCAUUUUGUAGGCUACUGGGAAGCGAUACGACCUGGACUCUUAAAUCAAUUAAUCAUGGUUUUUAGUGUUUGUCGAUAAAUUUUUUUUUCUUUUCUAUUUUUUUAAAAUGUAUCUAGAGAACUUGCCACAUUUAUGUAUCGUAUUGGGGGCCAUGCCUAUGCCUAGCACAUGUGUGGAGAUUAGAGGACAGCUUGUCAAUACUGCUUCUCUAUCAUGUGGGUCGUAGGGAUGGAGCGCAGGCAGUCAGGUGAGGCAGCUAAUGCCUUUACCUCCCUGAGCCAUCUUGCUGACCUGCUUCUCUUUAUAAAACAAAGCCACAUAAUUAUGCAUGUUUAGGAGGGACACUGAUACAGAGUAUAUAAUGUUUAAAUCAGGACAGUUAGCAUUUUCACUUCAAGUACCCAUAGCUUUUAAUCUGAUAUAAAAGUGAUACAUAAUUUCAGGGUCCCUUGUGAUGCUUUGAAAUGUGGUCUGGAUAAGGAGACCAACCUCUCCCAAGGUUGAUCAUGAUCAUGACUUUAUGCUGAACUACUUCAGAGCUCUGUUGCUUUGUUGAAGAAGUGCACAUCCCAAUAUUAUCUGUUUGUACUACUGUGGAAAAUGUCAGGGGAAUUCGUUCUUGUGCUCCAUUACUGCUGGAAUUUUUAGUUUUUAAUUGUGUGCAUGUGUGUGCGCACACACACACACACAUACACACACACACACACACACAUGUACACAAGCACGCAUGCACACACACAUAUGAGAAGGAGAGGGAUAGGGAGAGGGAAAGGACUCUUGUCCUCUCCUCUUAACUGCAGAGCCACCUUUCCAGCCCCAGUUACCUCUAAUUUUAUAGACAACAUUCUCCCUUUGGGCAGCCAGGCUUCUCUGGUUAUAGCAGCAGACUCUGGUCUGUUUGGAGAUGGGUGGGGCUGCUCUCCAAAUCAAAGGAAAAGUUGAACAGUGCAUCAUGCAAAUAGCUACUGAGAGCCUGGUCAUAAGAGCGAGAGAAGAGUCUGAGAGGCUUUCCAUUUUGUGCUGUCACUUGGCCACUCAGAAGCCGCACAGAUCAGAGUCUUAAUUGGUCAAGCUUGGGUCACCUCAUUGGAAAGAAUGAUGCAUACAGCAAGGCCAGAUGCCCACUGAGUUCUACAGUCAGUGGCAUCGGACCCCACCCAUCUUCACCAGCUUGCCAGGAUUUCUUGGCUGUUAAGGAAGUUAUUUUUCACCUUUACAUUUCUGGCUAAUUUCUGUGAAUAUAUUCUUGAAAUAAUUUUUCUUCCUUUUGAGAUACGAUCUUGUUUGUAGCCCAGGCUAGAUUUGAAUUGUAGACGCUCUUGCUUCAACCUGUGGGGUGCAGGAACUGCACAGGUAUGGCACUUCACUCAGCCUCUCUGUACCUUUUCACUUUUGUGUCUUAAUUAUAGUCCAUGUCUGUACCCUGGAUGAUUGCAGUGACCCCUGAUCUAAUCUUGCCUUUCGGUGAUUCUUCCUGACUUUUCGCUGUACUCUUGACUACAGAUAUGGAGGAAUAUAACUUUUCUUCUGUAUUAAGUUUUCCUUUGGAGUUUUCCUAGGAUUGUAGAAAAUUCUGUGUACCACUCAUUUGUCUUAGAAAUUGUCCUGGUUAGUUUUGUUCUUUCUUUCCUUGAUACAAGGAAGGGUCAUUUGGGAAGUGAGCACCUCAAAUGCGCAACUUGCCCCCAUCAGAUUGUCUGGUAGGCAAAUCUCUGGGAUGUUUUCCUGACUCGUGAUUGAUGUGGGAGGGCCCAGGCCACUAUGAGCAGGGUGCCCCUCCAGGCUUGUGUAAGAAAGCAGACUAAGCAAGCUAUAGAGAAUAAGCCAGCAAGCAGCAUCCCUCAGGACCUCUGCUUCAGCUCUUGCCCCAGCUUCCCUCAGGAUGGAGGGUGGCCUGAGAGCUGUCAGCUGAAAUAAAUUCUUCCUUCUUCAAUUUGCUUUCUGCCCUGGUGUUUUGUCACAGCAAUAGAAAACAAACCAAGAUAUAGGCUGACACCCUGUAGUUUGACUGAGGAUUCCAAUAGGUUUUACAGUCAUAAAAGCCCGGGUGUGUGGAUCUCUAUGAAUGCUUUUGGUUAGAGUAAUGACCACCAGCAUUACCCAGUUAAAAAACAAAAAACAAAGACUUUACUUUCUUGAGUAAAAAUGUAUUUUAAUUGAUUGAAAACCACAUUAUUUAUUAGGAACCCUGUGAAGUCUCAGCCCACUGCAUACUUGCAUAAUGUACAAAUAGCUAUAAAGGAAUGCCAUUUCAGAUGAUGGGACAUCCAGAGGUGGGCCAGGCGUUCAGGUACAUUAUGAUCUGGGGCUCCUGUCAUCUUCCUGUUUCCUUUGCUUUGUCUUUAUUGGUAUCUUGACCUCUUGGGCAUUUUCCAUGGUAAAAAUACGGUCGUUGUGUGCUGUGAGGAAGAAUGUCGUGACAUUUGCAGUGACGGAGAUGACACUGGAAGUAAUCCUGUCCAUGAGCACUGAGCCCCGUGGUUCCUCUAGGGGCCAGCGGCUGUACAUGCUUGUGGAGAUCAGGGCUUAUGAGCCUGCGUCCUGAUAAUAUCAUUCAUCAUGUUUUGCCAGACUCAGAAACACAAAUGUCCUGCUUUCUCUCAUAUGAAGAAUCUGUGUUUACAUAGCUAUAUGAUAUAUGCAUAUAUAUCUAAGCCACAGAAGUAAAUAGAUCGGGUAUUGGAGAGGGGAGGAAGAUGUCAACAUGAGUGGGGAAGGGGGUACCAAGAGAGGGAAGUGGAACAUGCAUGACAUGAAGUCACUGGGGGGACUUGGAUGGGACGGGUAAGGGGUGGGCACUGUGUGUGGGUAAAUAUAAAAAACCAUGAUGAUAUAAAUGUGUGAAAAUGCUAUGAUGUUUGCUCAGGAAGCUAAUAUAAACUAAGGUUGCUUGCAAAACAAAGGUGAUUUGCCUCCAUAUUCCUAGCUCACAGAGACAGAAAGGAACAUUCCAGAAGGUCUUGCUCAUGAGAUAAGAGUCCUUUCAUCUAGUCUAAGCCAGUGCAUUUCACAUAGUUACGCUUGACCUUUAACAUGUACAGGAGGGUGGGAAUAUGGUAGAUGGAUGAGGCUCCAGCCCGUAUCCCUGAUCUGCUUCUGACUGUCAGGGACAGAAGGCACAGAUCCGUUGGGAUCUUUUUCCUAAUCCGGAGAGAAGGGGUGUCCUCUGAGUCAAGAGACUGACUGCGAUAGUAGGAUGAGUGCUUUAUUGGAAUCAGAGCUCAUCGGGAAGGAAGACCAGGAGCAGAGGUGGCGUCUCAGACAGGAAAGUGCCUGCUCUGUGAGCAUAAGAACCUGAGUUUGGCUCCUGGGAAGCCAUGGUAAAAACAACAACCAAGCAAUCAAGCAGCCAACCAAUCAAAACAAGCAGAACACAAGGUGCUAGCGUGCUCUCAUAAUGGAAGCACUGAAUGGGGUGGGAUGGAGCUGGUCUGGCUGAGAUGAUGAGCUUCAGGCUCAGCGAGAGACUCUGUCUCUAAAAAUAACUGCGGAGAACUCCAGACACUGACUUGUAGCAUUCACAGGCACCUACACACAUGUGUGCAUGUGCUCCCACACUAACAAGUAUAUGUCAGUCACCUAUACACACCACACACACACACACACACACACACACACACACACACACACACAGA